Molecule: non-coding RNA, 1309 nt
Organism: Pelobates cultripes (western spadefoot toad)
Lineage: Eukaryota; Metazoa; Chordata; Amphibia; Anura; Pelobatidae
Source: the annotation of a GenBank genome assembly
GUAUGGACUCAGCAGUCUGUGUGUGUGUAUGGACUGAGCAGUCUGUGUGUGUGUGUGUGUGUGUGUGUGUAUGGACUCAGCAGUGUGUGUGUAUGGACUCAGCAGUCUGUGUGUGUGUGUGUGUGUGUAUGGACUCAGCAGUUUGUGUGUGUAUGGACUCAGCAGUCUGUGUGUGUGUGUGUGUGUAUGGACUCGGCAGUCUGUGUGUGUAUGGACUCGGCAGUCUGUGUGUGUAUGGACUCAGCAGUCUGUGUGUGUAUGGACUCGGCAGUCUGUGUGUGCAUGGACUCAGCAGUCUGUGUGUGUGUGUAUAUGUGUGUAUGGACUCAGCAGUCUGUGUGUGUGUGUGUAUAGACUCAGCAGUCUGUGUGUGUGUGUAUGGACUCAGCAGAGUCUGUGUGUGUGUACGGACUCAGCAGAGUCUGUGUGUGUGUACAGACUCAGCAGAGUCUGUGUGUGUGUGUACGGACUCAGCAGAGUCUGUGUGUGUGUAUACGGACUCAGCAGAGUCUGUGUGUAUGUGUACGGACUCAGCAGAGUCUGUGUGUGUGUAUGGACUCAGCAGUCUGUGUGUGUGUGUGUGUGUAUGGACUCAGCAGUCUGUGUGUGUAUGAACUCAGCAAUAUGUGUGUGUAUGGACUCAGCAGUCUGUGUGUGUAUGCACUCAGCAGUCUGUGUGUGUGGACUCAGCAGAGUGUGUGUGUUUGUGUACUCAGCAGUCUUUGUGUGUUUGUGUACUCAGCAGUCUUUGUGUGUGUGUGUGGACUCAGCAGUCUGUGUGUGUAUGGACUCAGAAGUCUGUGUGUGUGUAUGGACUCAGCAGUCUGUGUGUGUGUAUGGACUCAGCAGAGUCUGUGUGUUUGUGUGUGUAUGGACUUAGCAGUCUGUGUGUGUGUAUGGACUCAGCAGAGUGUGUGUGUUUGUGUGUAUGGACUCAGCAGAGUGUGUGUGUGUGUAUGGACUCAGCAGUCUGUGUGUGUACGGACUCAGCAGAGUCUGUGUUUGUGUAUGGACUCAGCAGAGUCUGUGUGUGUGUAUGGACUCAGCAGAGUGUGUGUGUAUGGACUCAGCAGAGUGUGUGUGUGUGUGUGUAUGGACUCAGCAGUAUGUGUGUGUGUAUGGACUCAGCAGUCUGUGUGUGUGUAUGGACUCAGCAGUCUGUGUGUGUACGGACUCAGCAGUCUGUGUGUACGGACUCAGCAGUCUGUGUGUACGGACUCAGCAGAGUCGCUGUGUGUGUAUGGACUCAGCAGUCUGUUUGUGUAUGGACUCAGCAGAGUGUGUGUGUGUGUGUAUGGACUCAGCAGAG